RNAcentral lists this ribosomal RNA (425 nucleotides) under uncultured bacterium. RNAcentral's name for it is "bacterial SSU rRNA". It matches the Rfam family "Bacterial small subunit ribosomal RNA", at positions 356 to 773 of the family's 1533-position model. The record is from RNAcentral.
GGGGAAUAUUGGACAAUGGGGGAAACCCUGAUCCAGCGACGCCGCGUGGGUGAAGAAGGCCUGCGGGUUGUAAAGCCCUUUCGGUAGGGACGAAAGCUCUUGCUCUAACAAAGCAGGAGGUUGACUUAACCUACAUAAGAAGCACCGGCUAACUCUGUGCCAGCAGCCGCGGUAAUACAGAGGGUGCGAGCGUUAAUCGGAAUUACUGGGCGUAAAGCGCACGUAGUCGGCUUGUCAAGUCGGGUGUGAAAUCCCCGGGCUCAACCUGGGAACUGCAUCCGAAACUGACUUGCUAGAGUAUGGGAGAGGGAGGCGGAAUUUCUGGUGUAGCAGUGAAAUGCGUAGAUAUCAGAAGGAACAUCAGUGGCGAAGGCGGCCUCCUGGACCAAUACUGACGAUCAGGUGCGAAAGCGUGGGGAGCAAAC